GGACUUAAUUGGAUUGAGCCUUGGUAUAAUCCGUCGAUUUCAAAAAUCAUGAGGGUUCAAGUCCCUCUAUCCCCA
This 75-nucleotide transfer RNA is filed under the name Trichogonia hirtiflora. RNAcentral describes it as "partial tRNA-Leu". RNAcentral also lists the same sequence under 1 other name. The record is from RNAcentral. Lineage: Eukaryota; Viridiplantae; Streptophyta; Magnoliopsida; Asterales; Asteraceae.